Oncorhynchus kisutch (coho salmon) is the source of this 3713-nucleotide long non-coding RNA. RefSeq lists it as uncharacterized. The transcript is spliced from 5 exons. Lineage: Eukaryota; Metazoa; Chordata; Actinopteri; Salmoniformes; Salmonidae. The record is from RefSeq and is a predicted model, not a curated record.
AUUGGCACGCUCACAUACACCCGGAACCUGCAACGAAUAGCUUUUAUCUUUCAUCAAUGAAUAUCUUUUUAUAGCUAUGCAUUACAGUAAUAUUGUUGUGUAUUUUCGCAAAUAAUGUUAUUGAUUGUAAGUAAGGCAAAGCUAUAUAAAUGUGUGGUGCCUUGCUAUGUUUUGUAACCCAUGAAGAUGCUGAUAUGAAGAGGUCGUUUCAGAUAAUCACUUGUGUUCUGAUAAUCACGUUUAAAUAAAAAUAUACCACACAAGCAGCUACUUAAAGUAUACUACCAUUAUGUAAAUUCUGAUUAAAUAUAGUCUACUGUGAAAAUGUUUUCAGAACGUCACUGAAUAUGGAACCAAUUUGAACGGUACUUUGUUUCAGGGGGACAUAAAUGACCACAGCAACGGUUUGUUUUUAUCGGAAGUAUAUCGCAAGCCUGCGCAAUCCGUUCAUUGGUCCGUGCUUCUAUAACUUCAAUGUUCUACUAACAAAAAAACUGUUAGAAUUGUAAGUGUAUGUAUGUCCCUUAAGGUCCUUGUGUAAUUGUAAUGUGAUAUUGUACACCCAAGCGCGAUUGUCCAUUGUAUAUAAUCUAUGUAUACUUGUGUUCCCUCAAAAAAAAAAAAUGUAAAUGUUCCCAUUUCUUAUUUUUAUGACAGAAAUCAAGAAAGUUUAUUUAUGAAUUUGUAAUUGAAAGGUUUACAUAUUAGAAUGUUAGUCAGUUACAGUAACAGCUCUGAAGAGGAAAUAGAAAAUGUGCUAUUAGAGGAUGUAACAAAAAGGCUACGAUACUGGCACAGAGAUGACAACUCAUUAAGGAAGAAGCACAAAUCAGAGGAACACACCACCAAAACAAGGGGGGAAGAUGACUCCAAGUCCAGACUGCCUCUUCCUGGCAUUGUGCUGGACAUGUUUACAGAGGAAGAUGAUGACCCACAGACUGGACAACAUACAACAUGGUGGACGGAUUCGCUCUUUCAAACAUGAGAGGAGAGGAAACUGGACCACUUAAGUGUACUUUCCACACAUCCCAGAGGAAGGGUUCUUGGAGCUGCUUGAUGAGAUGACUAAAGUAGCAGGAUCCCAUGACAUCUCCCUCACUCAUACAGACGAGUUUCACCUCAGUCUAAGACAGUGGUUCUGAGGCAUCACUGGAUCCAGCCUUUCAUACAGUCCCUCAGAACAGGCUUGGCACAUGGCAGGAGGUCUGCUAUAGUACAACCAACAUUUAUGUUUUGUCCCUUUUGUUUGUGGAAUUGGUGUUACUAUUCUCUGUUAUAUUUUGGUAAGAGGAUGCAUGUCACCAGAGGUAUACUGGCAGGAAACAAAUACUCUGCUAAAUAGUCUGAAUGAGGUAAAGUGAUUGCAAUCUUUUUUAUAGGUUAAUUUCUUUGGCUGAGAAGCUGAACGUCUACUCUAAUGAUGAUACAACCAGGUAUAGUAGGAUCUCUUAUCACGAUGAGUGAGACAGGCCUCCUGCCAUGUGCCAAGCCUGUUCCGGGCAUGCCCCCAUUCACAUCGACGCGGCUGUAGUGUAGCGGUUCGAGAGCUUCAAGUUCCUCAGUGUCCACAUCAUUAAGGAUCUAUCAUGGGCCAAACACACCAACACAGUCGUGAAGAGGGCAUGACAACUUCGCUUUCUCCUCAGGAAGCUGGAAAAAUUUAGCAUGGGCUCUCAGAUCCUCAUAAAGUUCUACAGCUGCACCAUUGAGAGCAUCAUGACUGGCUGCACCACCACUUGUUAUGGCAACUGCUUGGCAUCCGAAGCACAAAUGGUCUAGUACAUCACUGGGGCUGUGCUCCCUACCAUACAGGACCUUUAUACCAGGCUGUGUCAGAGGAAGGCCCUAAAAAUUGUCAGACUCCAGCCACCCGUCAUAGACUGUUUUCUCUGCUACCUCUCGGCAAGCAGUACCGGAGCGCCAAAUCUGGGUCCAAGAGGCUCCUGAUCAGUUUCUAGCCCAAAGCCAUAAGACUGCUGAACAGUUCAUCAAAUGGCUACCUGGACUAUUUGCAUUUCACUGGCUCUACUCACACAUACUACACUGACAUUCCAACACACACUACAUACACUCACACAGACAUGCAUAUUGACACCACUCACACAGACACACUUUCACAAUCUUCACAUACGCAGCUGGUACUCUGUUUAUUAUCUAUCCUGAUUGCCCAGUCACUUUUACCCCUACCUACAUGUAAAUAUUACCUCAACUACCUCAUACCCCUGCACAUUGACUCAGUACUGGUACUCCUUGUAUACAGCCUUGUUAUUUUGUCACUAUUUCCUUUUAUACUUAGCAAAUUUAGGUUACUUUAACUCUGCAUUGUUGGGAAGGGGCUUGUCAGUAAGCAUUUCACGGUAGUCAACACCUAUUUUUAUUUUCUUGAUUUGACAGCAUGAUCAUGUACAAGAUCAUAGUCUUACGAUCUAGUAUUCUGCUCUCCCCUACAGGACAUUACUGGCUAUGGAAGUCGCCACAGGACAGGCUCAGCUACAAGAGCUUAUGAAAGCAGUGGACGGCACCAUGGAGGAGUUCACCCUUGACACUUUUUACAAGAAUCCUUCCUUCCAUGUAAGUCUGACCUGGUGUGUUGGUGACUGCACGGAACACAUUCGCAAAGAGUGUCUGCAGGAGUUGCAGGGUUUGGUUGACUCCCAUGAGGAUGGAGCCUUCCUGUUGAGACUGGACUGUCAAGAGUUGCAACGUUAGUCUGGGAACAAGACCUUUUCGCUACACUGACAACCAGUUCUCGUUCAUUCUGUGGUCAACUGUAAUGUUGUGAAACCUGAAAAAUGUUCAUAAUUGACCUACAGAAUGAAACAGUUGUCAACUAAAGCUUUUGUUAGAUUAAGCUUUACAGGCCUAAAUCCAUUUUUAAAGUGGUACUUGUGAACUAGAAGGAUAGAAUUCAUUAAUGAACCUUUUUGAUUAAAGAGGAUAUAAUAAUCCUGAACUAACACUCCAGACGACAGGACCCAAUGACUUAUGGCGCAAUCACUCGUGGCUUUCUGAGGAGUUCAGAAACCCUGAUUAAGUGUUGCAGGUGCAUAUGGUAGGUCCUGUUUGAUCCGUGAAAGUACUGAAGUAGAUGUGUUAAGACAUCUGAGGGGAAGAGGUAGGCUCUUUCGCCAGACAAUGGGCGCGCUGCACGCAUGCUCCACGGCAGCUGUGAGACUAGGGAAGAGGAACCUCUGAGGCUGAUGAAACAGAGUUCCAAUUUUUCACUCCCUCUUACUUUAACAGAGCUCCCACAGAAGGCCAGCUUAAUGCAAUGUUCAACAUUACAUUUUACUUAAUAGUCACAGGGCAGCACACAAACAUAUCAUGAUAGUACCAUCAAUAACAUAUUGGUCAAGCCCAACCAUAGCGCAAUGGCACAGUUACAAUCAAGCUGAUCGGACAGCAAUCUAGCCUUGACAAAAGGACCUGAAUUUAUGCAUUAAUCACAGCUCAAUACUGGACAUACUGCUACUUCUGAGGAUCACAUUAAACAGUUAACCUGGUUUGAUUUAGAUUGGAAGUGUUACAUUUUUUAAAAUAAUAGCUGACAUGUUUAGGAACAAAAUUACAGGCAUUACCGUCAUUUAUUUCUUUAUGUUAUACAUACAGAAUAUGAACCGGUAUACUAUACAUACGGUGACCUACAGAACAAAACCAAAUGUAACGCUUUGUAACAGCAGAAAAGGUCUGAAUAAAAAAAAUGAAUACGAAAG